GCGCACGUGGUGAAAUUGGUAGACACGCUGUCUUCAGGCGGCAGUGCCGCAAGGUGUGGAGGUUCGAAUCCUCUCGUGCGCA
RNAcentral lists this transfer RNA (82 nucleotides) under Cryomorphaceae bacterium. Its description in RNAcentral is "tRNA-Leu". It matches the Rfam family "tRNA". From Rfam's summary of the family: Transfer RNA (tRNA) molecules are approximately 80 nucleotides in length. Their secondary structure includes four short double-helical elements and three loops (D, anti-codon, and T loops). Further hydrogen bonds mediate the characteristic L-shaped molecular structure. tRNAs have two regions of fundamental functional importance: the anti-codon, which is responsible for specific mRNA codon recognition, and the 3' end, to which the tRNAs corresponding amino acid is attached (by aminoacyl-tRNA synthetases). tRNAs cope with the degeneracy of the genetic code in two manners: having more than one tRNA (with a specific anti-codon) for a particular amino acid; and 'wobble' base-pairing, i.e. permitting non-standard base-pairing at the 3rd anti-codon position. The record is from RNAcentral. RNAcentral also lists the same sequence under 1 other name. Lineage: Bacteria; Pseudomonadati; Bacteroidota; Flavobacteriia; Flavobacteriales; Cryomorphaceae.